Molecule: unclassified non-coding RNA, 956 nt
Filed under: Hevea brasiliensis (rubber tree)
Lineage: Eukaryota; Viridiplantae; Streptophyta; Magnoliopsida; Malpighiales; Euphorbiaceae
Source: RNAcentral
CUGCUACUGAUUGGCAUAAUCAUUGCCAUUGCAGUGGUCUGUUGCAAGUGGAGGAAGAAAGCUCUGAGAAAGGACAAAGAAGGAGUGCCACUCCGGGAUGUUUAGUGUGUGUGUGUUUCAGCACAUGCACACACAUGCACACAUAUUAUUGUGGGAACAAGCGGUACAGCUGAACUGGACUGAGGCCUGCAACGAAAGUAAUAGUUCAAAGUUCCACUGUCAAACACUGGAAUCCACCCUUCCUUUAGUUUCUGUGAAACUGAAUAUGUUGAACAUAUUUUAUUCUUACUUCAUCUACUACUAUCAUUUCAUGCUGCAAAAAAUAAAAGAUGGAAACACUGAUAGUCAUCUUACUGAAGCGGUUAUAUUUCAUUCAUUUUCUUUUGUAUUUGCUUAGUGGUAUUUGAUAAUUGUAGAUAAAGACUACCAUUUCAUUUUAUUUAUUUCAUUUUAUAGAGACCUUUCUAACUUCACAUUUAUUUUUUUAGUCUGGUGAAAGCAACACUUUAUGGGAAAUCAAGACUUUGUGUAUAUUAUUUUGUAUCUGAUGCGUAACUUAUUGUGUUUAAUUGAAAUUAACACAUUUGUAUAUGAUGCUUUUGUUAUACGUCUGUUUUUUGCAGAUAAUUUUGUAUUUGGUGAAAAUAUUUAACAUUUGAUAAAUAUUGUUAUAAACAGAACCAUUUAUUAUUUCAGUUCUGUUAAAUGGAAAAUAGCAAAUAUUACAAUUUGUGUCUGUGCCUUAUUAGAGAUGGAAUUGGAGAUGUCAGGAUUGCAAAAAUGCUUGGACUGAAUGUGCAGAACCCAGAACCCCAACACACUGAAUAAACAAUAGUACUUGUUAAUUAACCCUAAGUGAUGUCCAGGGGGCUUACAUCCAUCUAUAGUUUUAUGAACUUCACUGUAAAAGGAGUUCUGUGCAUCUUCAUCAAAGGGUGACAAAAAAAUCUAAAAAG